Long non-coding RNA from Oryza sativa Japonica Group (Japanese rice), 637 nucleotides. RefSeq lists it as uncharacterized. NCBI's taxonomy places the organism in Eukaryota, Viridiplantae, Streptophyta, Magnoliopsida, Poales, Poaceae. The record is from RefSeq and is a predicted model, not a curated record.
AUGAGAUGUACGACAUGUCCUGUUGCUGCCGUACGUACUACUAGUACUAAUCUAAGCGGCUGAGCAGCGCCGGUCGAAGAAGGAAGAGUGUUUCAGCUCGGCGAGCAUUUGCUGCUGGGUGUGUGCAGUACGCAUGUUGGAGAGGGAGUUGUACUACCAAACCUUGGGACAGGUCAGCAUCGUGUACUCCAGCUUUGCUCUCCCCUUGUACUGAUGGAUGGGCAAAUUGGCAGGCUAUGAGAUGUGGUACUAGCUAGUACUACUGUACUAGCAGUGGAAUGGUUCAAGGCAAAGACAUUGCGUUGCGUGUGUAUAUAUACAUCUCCCAUGUUUCUUGAAUCUUGACGAUGAUGGCGUUGGCCUAACCGGAUUUGCAGUGCAUCAGUGCAGGGGAGGAGGAAACUGCGCGGUCUGAUGGAGAUUGGGCAAGAUUGGGACGGAAGGAAGCAGAACAAAGCGAAAAAUUCAAGAUAUGCUUUGCGAUUUGCCAAUUGCAAUAGUUUGCAAUAGAAUCUCCGUAGUAUAAUUUUUGGCAUGUCCUGCUGUAACUGCCGGAAAGAACAAAAGAAAAGCUCAAUCUUGGUUUUCAGACCAUGCAAUGCAAUGAUGAACCGUUUGUUACUACUCCAUCAUGACA